CCCUCGGAGUGUUAUAUAAAAUGAGAGUAGUGUAUUGUUUGUAAUCACGAAAUUCAGACACAUUGAACAGGGAA
Molecule: small RNA, 74 nt
Rfam family: RAGATH-18 RNA
About the family: Actinobacteria, Firmicutes, Fusobacteria, Thermotogae (1 example).
Source: Rfam